This is a long non-coding RNA of Mustela erminea (ermine), 1457 nucleotides long. RefSeq lists it as uncharacterized. The transcript has 2 exons. Lineage: Eukaryota; Metazoa; Chordata; Mammalia; Carnivora; Mustelidae. The record is from RefSeq and is a predicted model, not a curated record.
CCUCCCAAACCCUCAGUUUGUUUCUCAGAGUCCACAGUCUCUUACUGUUUGUGGGAGUAAAGUAGUAUUUUAUUUCACAUUUGCUGUUUUCCCCGUCCAUGUAUAUUUUCCUUCAAAACCUGAAGGAAAGAGCUGUGACAGGAGGAUUUGGGGAAUUCUGGAUCUCUAGGUAUAAAAUUACCUGAAAAUCUUUCCAAAUCCCAUCAUACAGUUUAAUACCUUGGUUUUAUCCCUGUUUAACAUUAGCCUAGCCUCAUACCUAUAAAUGUAGAAAAAUUACAAUCCAUGACACUGUAUUUAACCAAUCAUAUAUGUUUAGAUAUUUAGGUUGUUAGGAUUUAUACAAAAUCAGGAAGCAAAUGAAUUACUUUCAGCAACACCACUGCAAUUUUGAGAGUGUCUUUCUUUUAGUUCUGAGAUACCGUAUCCAUCAAGAAAGGGUAUGGUAACAGAUUUACUUAUAUACCAGGGCCAAAGUGAAGACUAUAAUAAAUAUGGUAUACCUGGAUCUUUGCUGCAGAGUUUCCCAAAUUGGAGGUACACUGUGCUUGCCAGACAACACAGCAGAGCCCUUACAACUUCUACGUGGAAUGUAAAACCUUUAUCGCAUCUUAGAACACUUACUGAAGUGUUUAGACCCUACCCACUCUGUAUUUUCCAAUAUUAAAGGAACACAUCUCAGAAUAUUUGCGGAAUAUGUAGAAUAUAUAUUCUACAGCGGAAAUGUAGAAUAUAAAAAUCAUUCAGAAACACGCAGCAGGAAGAUAACCUGUUUGUUGCUUGGUGUACUUCCUCCCAGUCUGUCUCUUAAUGAGAUUUUCUCACAACUUCUUGGCUCAAAUCUAAAGAUUAAUUCAAGUUGGGCAGAUGUAAAGUGAAGUGAAAAGGCAGCUAUUUUUUACCUUUACUGUUUAAGACACAGGUGGCAGGGUAAGGGAAAGAGAGGGGCAGGGUAGGUGCCAAAGAUGUUUAAGUCAGUAAGGCUAGAAUUCCGGAAAUGCAAGCUGUCUGCGGUUGGAGCUUCUACCACCCUGGCUAGUGAAACUGGCUAGAGCAGAGCAAUCUUUGGGCUGGCACAUUCGCUGGGCUACCCGCUUUGUCCAUCAUACUUAUCCAGCCAAUGACUAAUGCCAGAAGGAGGAGCUGACUGAGCUUGAAACUCAGGAGCGGAGUGCAGAGGCAGAAGAGCUUUUACGCAGUUUUCUGCGACUAGCUUCUGGCGCGCUGCUUUCCUUUAUAUGUGAAUCGAGGCGGAAACAGGCGACCUCCUUUCCUGCUCCCAACCGGACCAAGGAGGACUCCUCCUCCCCUAUCCCAUGCCCUUCUUCUCCUCCUGACUGACUAAGUAAAAGUAAGGACUGCUGAAGAGGUAAUGGAAGAAACUCCAUCUAAGUGGACAAAGUGACUGUACGACAUAAUGACAAGAUGAAGAAACUCACCCCAAAAGGAGAAAAAAA